CGCGGCCUAUCAGCUUGUUGGUGGGGUAACGGCCUACCAAGGCUAUGACGCGUAGCGGGUCUGAGAGGAUGAUCCGUCACACUGGGACUGAGACACGGCCCAGACUCCUACGGGAGGCUGCAGUCGGGAAUCUUCCACAAUGGCCGCAAGGCUGAUGGAGCGACACCGCGUGCGGGAGGAAGGCCUUCGGGGUGUAAACUGCUGUCAGGGGGGACGAAUGCCGGUGGGUUAAAUACCCACGUGUGGUGACACGCCCUACGAAGGAACGGCUAACUACCUGCCUGCCACCGCCCUAAUACAGACGGAGGAAGCAUUGUUCGGAUUCAAUGACUGUAAAUAAAACGUGGGCAGGUCGUUCCUUUAGAUGCUUGAUAAAUUCGCUCACUCAUGUCCCUAUGUCCGAGACAGACUGGCUCACUGUCGACUGGGGUAAGCGAACCUCCUUCCGGAAGUAUGAAAGGUGUGCAUAUCUGUAAGAACAAACGCGGGUAACGAAGGUUACUGGUUGGAUUCUGACUGACACUCGUCCAAGCUAGCGUGGCGAACGGAAUCGAAUACAUACGCUGUCCUACCACUCCACGAUCGAUACUAACUAAUGGCUCUUCCCUAUGACGGUCACUGUGUGAGCUCUUGUGUUCUAUGUGCCGCCUGUGGAGAACAGAGUCUAUCGAUGAUCCCCUUGCUCCGAGCUCGAAGGCGUCACGCUGGUCGUAGGUGAUUCCUGCGUGCAACUGCUGUCCCCUCACAUUUCCGCGAGACAUAUGAUCCGGAAUGUUGUGCUGUAAAGCCGGUAGUGCCUUCGGACCGACCAUACUCGCCUUAAGUGCGUUGGCGCUCACUGCCCUCACUCAUGGUCGGGAAACUGUGUGCCAUCUGCUUACAUUGAAUGGGCC
RNAcentral lists this ribosomal RNA (893 nucleotides) under uncultured bacterium. Its description in RNAcentral is "partial 16S ribosomal RNA". The stretch from base 1 to 682 matches the Rfam family "Bacterial small subunit ribosomal RNA", at positions 232 to 1533 of the family's 1533-position model. The record is from RNAcentral.